UCACUCGCCGGUGAUGGGCAGAUUGGGAGUUCCCACCCCAAGCUCCCCGCCACUUCGGGCCUGCAGAGCCCACCGGCUGCUGACGCUCUCUGCUCGCACGCCCGACAGCAUCGCCAGCCUGCCGUGCCCCAACAGACAUGGGACUACGAUACCCACCAGGGAACAGGGUACUUGGUCUUACUCUGUGGCCUCAGCACCAGAACAAUAGCAGGAGCUAAUAAUAAUAAUCAUUCAGUGAAUGAAUAACUCCGUUUGCCCCACCUACAACUGGCUUUCCUGGGAAUGGUCCACAGAGGUUGCGGGACAAGUAGCUCACUCUUCUUUUGGUUACACUGAACUCAUGUGGCAAAUAUUCUUUGCCGGCUCGUGCGCUCAGACCUGGAGGAACGCAGGGGAAGAAAAUCUAGAACUUGACUCCCAGUACGCACUAAGGCUGUGUGCUGGGUGGAAGAGGACCACCUACCCUGAUUGAGGAGGACCAUUCUUCUGUCAAGAGUAUAGGAGUAGCUGGGCUCCCUGCUGGAACCUCCAAACAAACUUUCAAGGUCCAUUAUUAGAAGCUUUAAAAAGAGAGAGAAUUAAAUGAAAACCAGCAUUCUCAAUCUCAGAAAAGAUUGCUACUGAAGACAUAUUAUCCAGUCCCUUAAUUAUAUCCAUAGUUUGAUGUCCAUUUUUUUCUUUUUAAAAUUGAGCAUUUAAAUAAAUAAAACGAUGUACAAAAUGAAGACAAAUGACAAGAGGCUAAUGAUUGCAGACCAAAACUAAACAUUCUCCCCCCCUUUUUUUAACAGAGU
Molecule: long non-coding RNA, 794 nt
Organism: Callorhinus ursinus (northern fur seal)
Lineage: Eukaryota; Metazoa; Chordata; Mammalia; Carnivora; Otariidae
Source: RefSeq, a predicted model, not a curated record